GCCAUAGCUGAAGGGUAGAGCCUCUGCUCUGUGUGUAGAAGGUCUCAGGUUCAAUCCCUGACACCUAGGUAGGGCU
Non-coding RNA from Podarcis lilfordi (Lilford's wall lizard), 76 nucleotides. The record is from the annotation of a GenBank genome assembly. NCBI's taxonomy places the organism in Eukaryota, Metazoa, Chordata, Lepidosauria, Squamata, Lacertidae.